This is a long non-coding RNA of Wyeomyia smithii (pitcher-plant mosquito), 995 nucleotides long. RefSeq lists it as uncharacterized. The record is from RefSeq and is a predicted model, not a curated record. NCBI's taxonomy places the organism in Eukaryota, Metazoa, Arthropoda, Insecta, Diptera, Culicidae. The transcript is spliced from 5 exons.
CUUCAAGCUGCUAUUAAAUCAUUUUUCUGUAAUUUUUCUGCAAGUCAAAUGAAAAUUACGCUUUCCUCGGAAUUUAACAAAAAGGAAGCACUGAUAAGAAAAAUCAUUCAAUUUGGAACGCAAGUACCUGCAUACAUUUAGUAACAUAACCUGCAAAGAACAGCUAUUUAUAAUAGAAAAAAGAGGACUAGGGACAUAAAUCCCCCAACUUCCAAGCCCGAUUUUCAAAGGACUCUGAGAAAAUACUGAUGUUGAUUUCAGAACGCACUUAUUCUGAAGACAGAAAAUUCGAAAAAAAAAAACAGUAAGCAAAGAGUGCGCAAUCGAGAAAUAACUCUACUUUUUGGUUAAAAAUUAUUGAACUGACUCUCAAUCAUAAUCGUACUCGAAAUCUAGCCAAAAGAAAGCACCGACGAAAAAAAAUCCGUUCAGUGGAAGUUUGGAAUGCUAGUACAUUUAAGUAACAUAUAACCUGCAAAGAACAGCUAACUAUAAAAAAAUUGAAAAAGGCAAGAAAAAAAAGGAAUAGCGAUUCGUAUUUCCUGGACAAAACCAACGAAUCAAAUACUGAAAAAAGAUUGAAGAAAGGCGGUUCAAAUGACUGCCCGGAUAGAAGAAUGUUGGAAAAUCAGCUUCCAAUAUCGUCAACAAAAAAGAUUGAAGAAAAGCGGUUCAAAUGACUGCCCGGAUAGAAGAAUGUUGGAAAAUCAGCUUCCAAUAUCGUCAACGCAUAUAAUGGUAAGUCCAACAUUUUUAUACUCACAGUAAAUUCCGCGCUGAAGGCUAGUCUGUUCGUGUGAGGCACCGCGGGCGUUUCCGUCUAAGUUUGUUGAUAAAAUAUUCCUAAUACACAAUAGUGCCUACCGGAACGGCACGGCAAUGUUCUUCAUCAGUCCUGAAGAAGACCCUAACCAACACAUGAUACUUCGGAAGAUUACACCUUGCGAGCAAACAGUUUCAUGAACAUUUUGCGCACUAUUCAUACAAACCUUCAU